Molecule: ribosomal RNA, 252 nt
Filed under: uncultured bacterium
Lineage: Bacteria
Description: partial 16S ribosomal RNA
Rfam family: Bacterial small subunit ribosomal RNA
Source: RNAcentral
UACGGAGGAUGCGAGCGUUAUCCGGAUUUAUUGGGUUUAAAGGGUGCGUAGGCGGGCUUUUAAGUCAGCGGUAAAAAUUCGGGGCUCAACCCCGUCCGGCCGUUGAAACUGGGGGCCUUGAGUGGGCGAGAAGAAGGCGGAAUGGGUGGUGUAGCGGUGAAAUGCAUAGAUAUCACGCAGAACCCCGAUUGCGAAGGCAGCCUUCCGGCGCCCUACUGACGCUGAGGCACGAAAGUGCGGGGAUCGAACAGG